RNAcentral lists this long non-coding RNA (628 nucleotides) under Malus domestica (apple). Its description in RNAcentral is "long non-coding RNA (MDOM_LNC010510)". The record is from RNAcentral. Lineage: Eukaryota; Viridiplantae; Streptophyta; Magnoliopsida; Rosales; Rosaceae.
UAGCAUCUAUUGUCUAUUAUUAGGGAUUGAUAUAAUCCAAUUAUAUCAUGAAAUAUAUCAUUAUAGAUUUUCAUCCCAUGUAUAUAGACUAUAUCUCCCAUAUACAUUCUAUCUUCAUAUAUUGUUUUAAAGUCAUAACUUUAAAGAAGAAGUAUCCUUUUCAUUUCCAAAAUUAAUAUAUCAUAUAUAUUUAAAUUUUAGGAACAUGAUUAACUCCCAUAUACAUUCUAUCUUCAUAUAAUGUUUCAAAGUCUUAACUUUAAAGAAGAAGUAUUCUUUGCAUUUCCAAAAUUAAUAUAUCAUAUAUAUUUAAAUUUUAGGAACAUGAUUAACUCCCACUAACCUUUUGUAAACCUAGUAAACAAAAGAUUCAUUUACAUCUUUAUGAGAAAUCAAAUGAUUUGAUCCUUUUCUCAUAAGAUGCUUAUAGCUCCCACUAGCUUGCUAAGAUUCAUGAUGGAUGGAUCUCUACAACUUAUAUGUCUUGUGAUUCAUAGUUUUAGACAUAUAUAUUAUCAAGACUAUCUUAAUAAUGGUUUCGGAAACCCAUAUAAUGUCCAAACAUUGAAUCACCAUUUAGUUGUAGCUAGCUAUCUUCGAAUUAAUUGAAACCAAGACUACGUCAAAA